This 982-nucleotide ribosomal RNA is filed under the name Bacteroides fragilis str. 3783N1-6. RNAcentral's name for it is "bacterial LSU rRNA". It matches the Rfam family "Bacterial large subunit ribosomal RNA", at positions 1562 to 2556 of the family's 2925-position model. The record is from RNAcentral. Lineage: Bacteria; Pseudomonadati; Bacteroidota; Bacteroidia; Bacteroidales; Bacteroidaceae.
AGUAUACCAAUUUCCUCGGAAAACGGUAAUAGUGCGUGUAAACAUACUCCCAAGAAAAUCCGCUAAACUUAAUCUUAUAGGUACCCGUACCGUAAACGGACACACGUAGUCGGGUUGAAUAUACUCAGGCGCUUGAGUGAAUCACGGUUAAGGAACUAGGCAAAUUGACCCUGUAACUUCGGGAUAAAGGGUCCCUACCCGGUGACGGGAGGGCGCAGAGAAUAGGUCCAGGCAACUGUUUAACAAAAACACAGGGCUGUGCAAAAUUGAAAGAUCACGUAUACAGCCUGACACCUGCCCGGUGCUGGAAGGUUAAGAGGAGAUGUCAUCGCAAGAGAAGCAUUGAAUUGAAGCCCCAGUAAACGGCGGCCGUAACUAUAACGGUCCUAAGGUAGCGAAAUUCCUUGUCGGGUAAGUUCCGACCUGCACGAAUGGUGUAAUGAUCUGGACACUGUCUCAACCGUGAGCUCAGUGAAAUUGUAGUAUCGGUGAAGAUGCCGAUUACCCGCGAUGGGACGAAAAGACCCCGUGAACCUUUACUAUAGCUUAACAUUGAAUUUGGGUAAUUGAUGUGUAGGAUAGGCCGGAGACUUUGAAGCAGGCACGCCAGUGUUUGUGGAGUCGCUGUUGAAAUACGGCCCUUUGGUUAUUUGAGUUCUAACUCGCUGAUGCGAGGACACUGUUUGGUGGGUAGUUUGACUGGGGUGGUCGCCUCCAAAAGCGUAACGGAGGCUUCUAAAGGUGCCCUCACGCCGAUUGGUAACCGGCGGUAGAGUGUAAUGGCAUAAGGGCGCUUGACUGGGAGACUUACAAGUCGAUCAGGUAGGAAACUAGAGCAUAGUGAUCCGGUGUUUCCGUAUGGAAGGGACAUCGCUCAAAGGAUAAAAGGUACUCCGGGGAUAACAGGCUGAUCCCUCCCAAGAGCUCAUAUCGACGGAGGGGUUUGGCACCUCGAUGUCGGCUCGUCACAUCCUGGGGCUGG